This is a long non-coding RNA of Carassius carassius (crucian carp), 2031 nucleotides long. RefSeq lists it as uncharacterized. The transcript is spliced from 7 exons. NCBI's taxonomy places the organism in Eukaryota, Metazoa, Chordata, Actinopteri, Cypriniformes, Cyprinidae. The record is from RefSeq and is a predicted model, not a curated record.
GUUAAUUAUUCUGUUUGUUUUUACUCUCAGCAGCUUAUGCAGUUAUCUUUAUUAUUGCUCUUCUGAUCCUUUUUGGGGUAAUAGUUUAUUGCUGCCUUACAAAGAAAUCCAGGAAGUACUCUGUGGACUUACAUUCCAAACACGAAGAUGCUCAGAUCCCUCUCAGCACAGUGGAUGCAGAGGUGUUUGACACCACAUCAGUCAAAGAUAUGCAAACGUUCGCUCCUGUCGAGUCCACCGAGCCGCUUAAGGACCCUGCCCCUGAAUCUGUGAAGCCUGAGGAAGAGAAAGAAUCAACCGAUGUUAAACAAGAAAACCAACAGAAAUUAUCCAGCUCCCAGGCCACAGAGAACCCAAAGGAUAAAAUGGAGGGGCUGACCGUAGUGGAUCUUACUGAUGGAGAGCCGACGAUCUCCACCAAAACCUCAAUGGAAUCCCUAGAUGAUGUUCUCAAUGAAAACAACAGCAACAAUACAAGAGUUGAAGUCAAGGUCAAUGGGCAUGAUUUCACUGAAAUCUCUAUUGAUGCUUAACUUCUAAAAUUAAUCAGGUUCUUCCCAGCAUUUUACAAUGCUCUCUGAACCUGACUGAUGGAUUGUACUGGAACUGAAAGUAACAUCUGAACUAAAUUGUAAAUGAUGUGAGUCAUUGUUAGAACGAAAGUGCUUUAUAACGGUGCAGAAAAGCGAUAUAUAAAUGUAAUGAAUUAUUAUUAUUAUUAUUAUUAGAACAGUGUUGUUUGAGUAUACAUACAACACUAAGAAAAGUCUGUAAAAACAGGGCUCAGUGUAUUGUGCUAAUGUAAAGGAAUUUUCUGUAUACAUUUUCAAAAUCAAUUACUCAUGUUUUAAAAUACAUUUUGUUGUUUUAUGUUUAAUGGAAAUAUACAUAAACAUAAUGGAAUACAACUUAAUGGAGUUUCUGUUUUUCUGCAGAUUUUUGUUCCUACAUGGUAUUGCAAUUAGCAUAAUAGUAUCUUUUGUUAGAUUUUAAUAUUGUAACUUGUUAAUUAUAAUUUUGUUGAUAAUUUUGUAAAUGUUGCAGCUUUUUAUUGUUGUUGGCUGUAUGUAAAUGAAAAAUGUGUACUUUUUCUAUGUUAUUGCACCCAGAUAUCACAAUGUAUUUUCCAAGCAAAAGGAUGCUUGGAAAAUAACCGAAUAAUGCAAAACAUGUCAUUAUUAACAGUUCCAGGCUUUUUAAUAAAACUACAGAUUGGUUACCACCCCCCACACCAAUUGAGAGUAUAUACAUCAAUAUAUUAAAUUGUUGAGUGUGGACUUUUAUGACAAAAUGUGCAUUUUAACAUUUGUACAUUUUAAUUAAAAUAUCUGGAUGUAAAGGAAAUUAUGUAAGUAAAGGAAAUCUUAUCAGUGUUAUAGAGCUCACAGUUCCUCCAUUGUAUGUACAGUAUAUGUAUGUUUUAAUGCCUAUAGCUGUUAAAUGUUAAACAUAUGCAUUCGCAUAAUGCAUCAUUUCUUUCGUUCUCUAUGUAAUGCUUUCAUUGUUGUAAACUUCCAUUUGACUUUAUGUUUCGGGUUAAUCCUAGUUUUAUUAAUUUGUAUUGAGGUUUGUUUUCUUAAACUGCUGUAAACAACACAGUCUAAAGAAAUAUACAGUAUAAGCCUACUGUUGUUUACCUAAGUUGUUUCUGCCUUCUAAUAAUUAAUACAAUAAAAAUUGAUCUUGAUCAUGCAUGUCAUUUAAUAUUAUUUGUAGUUUACUUAAAUCUUUUUCUUGAAAACAAGAAAUGUUGUGGUUUUUAAAUAAAAAUUGACUUUAAGUUAAAGACUUUAUCUUCUAUAGCAAAUUGUAGUUUAUGAUGUUAAUUCGUGUUCUGGCUGCCCAUUUUACUUAUUACUGCAGCUACAGUUCAACAUUAACCACAAAAGCAAUUUGUCAGGUGGAUGUUCGAUCUUUAAUAAAGCAAGUUUACUGUAUGAGAACUGUAUUAGAAACUGCUUUCAGUAACCAAGCAGAUGCAAGCAUAGAUGGUUCAUUAACAAGACUGCAAUAAAAGUUUUAUUUCUGGUU